UUCUCAACACAUCUUAGAUACCAUCCCGUUUCAUCCAUGUCACCUAAAGCAGAUCAUAGAAUUGUAAUUAAUGAACCAGAUUCACCACUGAUAUUGGUCACGUGUACACUUGAAUGUCACGUGUGAAGGGUGCAUAUGGAUGGACGGGCGUGGAUAAAACACAUGCAUCAAUGUAGUGCCAAUAGAUGAUUUUAAUCAAGUGUGCCUGAAUUUAGGCCUUCAAGCACUUCACCCUUUUGAUGCCACUUGUGCUAUGAGUAGACCAUAUAGAGGAUUUGUUUUUAUUUAUUUAUUUAUUUGAGACCAUUUUUAAUUUAUUGUAAUAAAUAUUAUAUUUUUUUUAUUACGAAGUAAUAUAAAUUUUAUUUAAUAUGCAGUUUCAAUUGUAUUGCA
Long non-coding RNA from Magnolia sinica, 393 nucleotides. RefSeq lists it as uncharacterized. NCBI's taxonomy places the organism in Eukaryota, Viridiplantae, Streptophyta, Magnoliopsida, Magnoliales, Magnoliaceae. The transcript is spliced from 2 exons. The record is from RefSeq and is a predicted model, not a curated record.